GUUCUUAUAGUUUAUAUAAAAUAUUACACUGAAAAUGUAAUGAAAAGUUUUUUUAAGAAUA
RNAcentral lists this transfer RNA (61 nucleotides) under Ixodes woyliei. RNAcentral describes it as "tRNA-Phe". Lineage: Eukaryota; Metazoa; Arthropoda; Arachnida; Ixodida; Ixodidae. The record is from RNAcentral.